Molecule: long non-coding RNA, 203 nt
Filed under: Lathyrus oleraceus (garden pea)
Lineage: Eukaryota; Viridiplantae; Streptophyta; Magnoliopsida; Fabales; Fabaceae
Description: Pisum sativum (pea) long non-coding RNA (PSAT_LNC031502)
Source: RNAcentral
AUUCUGAUUGACAUGAUGAAAUGCAAUAUGAAAUGAAUGCAUGAAUGAGGAGGGCAAAUUUUGGGGUGUUACAUGAGGUUAGAGGUAAUGACGUCAUCAAGUCUAAAACUGAGUAAAUGGUGAUUAUCUACAACUCUGUGGUUGGGGAAAAGAUCAAUACCGAAGGAUGUCGAAAAAAGGUGAUAGACACUGACGAUUUCUUG